Molecule: ribosomal RNA, 1186 nt
Filed under: metagenome
Description: SSU rRNA
Rfam family: Eukaryotic small subunit ribosomal RNA
Source: RNAcentral
AUUCCGGCUCCAAUAGUGUAUAUUAAAGUUGCUGCAGUUAAAAAGCUCGUAGUUGGAUUUUGAAUUAUAAAAAUUUAACAUUCAUCUUUUAGAUGUGAUUUAAUUUUAUAUUCUUCCUUUUGAUACGCUCCAUUAAAUUAUAUUUUUUGGAUUUAAGUGUUUCAAAUUGUUUACUGUGAAAAAAUUAGAGUGUUCAAAGCAGGCGUAACCUAGCCUUUGAAUAUAUUAGCAUGGGAUAAUGAAAUAGGACUUUAAUCCUACUUUCGUUGGUAUCUAGGGCUAAAGUAAUGAUUAAUAGGGAUAGUUGGGGUCACUAGUAUUUAAUUGUCAGAGGUGAAAUUCUAAGAUUUAUUAAAGACUAACUACUGCGAAAGCAUUUGACAAGGAUGUUUUCAUUAAUCAAGAACGAAAGUUGGGGGAUCGAAGAUGAUCAGAUACCGUCGUAGUCUCAACCAUAAGCUAUGCCGACCAAGGAUCCGAGGUUGUUAAUAUGGAUGACUCUUCGGGCACUUAUAGAGAAAUCAUAAGUAUUUGGGCUCCGGGGGGAGUAUGGUCGCAAGGCUGAAACUUAAAGGAAUUGACGGAAGGGCACCACAAGGAGUGGAACCUGCGGUUUAAUUUGACCCAACACGGGAAAACUUACCAGGUCCAGACACAGUGAGGAUUGACAGAUUGAGAGUUCUUUCUUGAUUCUGUGAGUGGUGGUGCAUGGCCGUUUCUAGUUGGUGGAGUGAUUUGUCUGGUUAAUUCCGUUAACGAACGAGACCUUAACCUAUUAAAUAGUUAUUUGAACUUGAUUUUUAAAAUCAAAUGUUUAAAAAACUUCUUAGAGGGACUCUUCACUGAGAGAGUGAAUGGAAGUUUGAGGCAAAAACAGGUCUGUGAUGCCCUUAGAUGUUCUGGGCCACACGCGCGUUACACUGACAUAUUCAACGAGCAUUAUCCUUACCCGUCGGGGUUGGGUAAUCUUUUAAAUGUAUGUCGUGCUGGGAUAGAUCAUUGUAAUUAUUGGUCUUGAACGAGGAAUUCCUAGUAAGUGCGAGUCAUCAACUCGCGCUGAUUACGUCCCUGCCCUUUGUACACACCGCCCGUCGCUCCUACCGAUUGAAUGGUCCGGCGAGAACUCAGGAUGGAUAUGGAUUUUGGACACCGUUAGGUGCUCCAACCAUAUCCAGAAUUUGUUCAA